RNAcentral lists this ribosomal RNA (249 nucleotides) under Staphylococcus aureus. RNAcentral describes it as "partial 23S ribosomal RNA". It matches the Rfam family "Bacterial large subunit ribosomal RNA", at positions 1441 to 1685 of the family's 2925-position model. The record is from RNAcentral. Lineage: Bacteria; Bacillati; Bacillota; Bacilli; Caryophanales; Staphylococcaceae.
GUACCACCUAUAAUCGUUUUAAUCGAUGGGGGGACGCAGUAGGAUAGGCGAAGCGUGCGAUUGGAUUGCACGUCUAAGCAGUAAGGCUGAGUAUUAGGCAAAUCCGGUACUCGUUAAGGCUAAGCUGGGAUGGGGAGAAGACAUUGUGUCUUCGAGUCGUUGAUUUCACACUGCCGAGAAAAGCCUCUAGAUAGAAAAUAGGUGCCCGUACCGCAAACCGACACAGGUAGUCAAGAUGAGAAUUCUAAG